This 462-nucleotide long non-coding RNA is filed under the name Helianthus annuus (common sunflower). The record is from RNAcentral. Lineage: Eukaryota; Viridiplantae; Streptophyta; Magnoliopsida; Asterales; Asteraceae.
AUGCCCCCCCCCCCCACACACACACACACAUCCUCCACACACUUCCUACUCCGUAACACAUAACGCACCGGUUGAUGAAGAACCGCAACCCACUCGCAGAACCUCACCCUCACACACUCUCUACUCUCAAACGAAUAUGUACGCGCAACCGGAGUAUCGCCGGAGUUCCUCAACAUCACCGGAGUCCGAAGGAGUCAUCGGAGGAUCGCGACGGAACUCUCGCUUAAUCGUUUCGGAUCACUCGUGACCAAGUCUCUCAAAUCCCAUUUUGCGCGCAUAAGUUUACAAGGAAUCGCUAACGCAAACACUGUGAAAAGGUACGAAGAGAAGAUUGGACAUAGGAUGUGCCUUAGUUAACAAGAAACGGAUUAGUGUAGUUUAUUUAUGUCUCGCGUUUGUAAUUGUUUAUUUGAAUAAAUUGUUUUGUGAAACAUUUGUUAUGAAUAAAUUAUUAUUUAAAAC